GACGAACGCUGGCGGCGUGCCUAAUACAUGCAAGUCGAACGAACUCUGGUAUUGAUUGGUGCUUGCAUCAUGAUUUACAUUUGAGUGAGUGGCGAACUGGUGAGUAACACGUGGGAAACCUGCCCAGAAGCGGGGGAUAACACCUGGAAACAGAUGCUAAUACCGCAUAACAGCUUGGACCGCAUGGUCCGAGUUUGAAAGAUGGCUUCGGCUAUCACUUUUGGAUGGUCCCGCGGCGUAUUAGCUAGAUGGUGGGGUAACGGCUCACCAUGGCAAUGAUACGUAGCCGACCUGAGAGGGUAAUCGGCCACAUUGGGACUGAGACACGGCCCAAACUCCUACGGGAGGCAGCAGUAGGGAAUCUUCCACAAUGGACGAAAGUCUGAUGGAGCAACGCCGCGUGAGUGAAGAAGGGUUUCGGCUCGUAAAACUCUGUUGUUAAAGAAGAACAUAUCUGAGAGUAACUGUUCAGGUAUUGACGGUAUUUAACCAGAAAGCCACGGCUAACUACGUGCCAGCAGCCGCGGUAAUACGUAGGUGGCAAGCGUUGUCCGGAUUUAUUGGGCGUAAAGCGAGCGCAGGCGGUUUUUUAAGUCUGAUGUGAAAGCCUUCGGCUCAACCGAAGAAGUGCAUCGGAAACUGGGAAACUUGAGUGCAGAAGAGGACAGUGGAACUCCAUGUGUAGCGGUGAAAUGCGUAGAUAUAUGGAAGAACACCAGUGGCGAAGGCGGCUGUCUGGUCUGUAACUGACGCUGAGGCUCGAAAGUAUGGGUAGCAAACAGGAUUAGAUACCCUGGUAGUCCAUACCGUAAACGAUGAAUGCUAAGUGUUGGAGGGUUUCCGCCCUUCAGUGCUGCAGCUAACGCAUUAAGCAUUCCGCCUGGGGAGUACGGCCGCAAGGCUGAAACUCAAAGGAAUUGACGGGGGCCCGCACAAGCGGUGGAGCAUGUGGUUUAAUUCGAAGCUACGCGAAGAACCUUACCAGGUCUUGACAUACUAUGCAAAUCUAAGAGAUUAGACGUUCCCUUCGGGGACAUGGAUACAGGUGGUGCAUGGUUGUCGUCAGCUCGUGUCGUGAGAUGUUGGGUUAAGUCCCGCAACGAGCGCAACCCUUAUUAUCAGUUGCCAGCAUUAAGUUGGGCACUCUGGUGAGACUGCCGGUGACAAACCGGAGGAAGGUGGGGAUGACGUCAAAUCAUCAUGCCCCUUAUGACCUGGGCUACACACGUGCUACAAUGGAUGGUACAACGAGUUGCGAACUCGCGAGAGUAAGCUAAUCUCUUAAAGCCAUUCUCAGUUCGGAUUGUAGGCUGCAACUCGCCUACAUGAAGUCGGAAUCGCUAGUAAUCGCGGAUCAGCAUGCCGCGGUGAAUACGUUCCCGGGCCUUGUACACACCGCCCGUCACACCAUGAGAGUUUGUAACACCCAAAGUCGGUGGGGUAACCUUUUAGGAACCAGCCGCCUAAGGUGGGACAGAUGAUUAGGGUG
Molecule: ribosomal RNA, 1489 nt
Filed under: Lactiplantibacillus pentosus
Lineage: Bacteria; Bacillati; Bacillota; Bacilli; Lactobacillales; Lactobacillaceae
Description: bacterial SSU rRNA
Rfam family: Bacterial small subunit ribosomal RNA
Source: RNAcentral